CCACCCUGAGAGUCCUCUGGAGCCUGUCUGCCCUUCUGGAAUCCAGGUGCAGAUAUACCAGGGAUUUUCCCUGAAUCCUUGCUGGAAAGCAGGUGGGCUGCCCACCCAGGGCACAGAGUACAGCACUUAAAACGCCAGUUAUAAACAUAGUGCCCACAAAAUUCAGGCCUGAGGUCUUUAAAUGGGCUUAAGAAGGGUUUCAAGGCAGCAUCUACAUGGGCCCAACUGUAGUGAAGAUAGUGACUCAGUCCAGGCUUGAGUCCAAAGAAUGGAGCAUUUUAUUCAACAGAAUAAGCCAGCACAAGGAUUGAAAGGUCCAUAGCUGACCUGCUGGAGUGUCCUAGUAGUCUGUUGAUGAUGCUAGUCAAGAAUAUUGCAACUUCUGCUGUCUCCAGCCCUUUGACCUCAAACGUGCAAGGUUGAAAAUUCAGAUCCCAUCUGGACCCAGUGAAUGUGUGACUUGAAAGAAGGCAAAUGAAUGAAGCCUUCCAUGCUCUGGAGCUCCAGCAGAGAGGUUCUGCAGAUCACCUGGGAAAAUCCCAGUUCUAAGAUGGGCAGGGAAGGCAAGGCAAGGCGAAGCAAGAUCAAGAUGCUGUGCUGCAGGGCCAGAAGUGAGUAGAACAUCUUGUUACGGAAAUAGCUCCUCCCUGCAUUAGAAAAGCAGCUAUUUAAAGCAGGAUCAAUUGCCAGUCCUCUUUGCCACUGUUGUCAUUUGGAUGUGGCAUGUGCAAAUAAUAUUUCCUCAUGAAAGAAAACUUCCAGCAAUGACAGCACUGCUCUGGCCUAUCCUCCUGAGAAGGGGAGAAAUCAGCUCAUCCACAGAAAUGGCGUCUCCCUCUGAAAAGAUCCCCAGGAUCUGGCUUUUGUUUUUCGUCUGAGACUUUAGGCAAGUGGAUUUUGAUCUGCCGAUGACAUCAGGAUGGUGCAGCUUUUAAGAUGUGUUUGAACAUUGGAGUUACGUAGGACAGUGCUAAAGUAAAAAUACAUGGAGAAAAUGAACAAACCUAUGUAACAUAGAGCAAAGCCCACUUUCCACAAAGAUAUGCAUAAUAAAACUGGCAGUAUAUGCCUUUGAAAGAGAUUGCUUUAUGUUUAAUUAUGUCAGUGAGCAAAAAUCUUUUUAUUCUUGGCAAAUUACAGUGGGGUGGUAUCUUUCAAAAAACUGGAAUUAUCAAAGAGAUUUUCCAGGGAGAUGAACCCAUGCUUGAUUUAAGCACCGUCAAACUUUCCUCUAGUUGAGAUUCACAUCUGUAUCCCUGCUCUCAACUCAAGCCUGCUGCUGUUUGUUAUUGUUUGCAUUACUUGAGGGCCCACUUAGGGAUUGUACAAAAUGUUCUUUAAAAAAAAAUAAAUAUUGAAGUGUUCAUACAGAAUUUGAGAGAAACACACUCCUUUUGAAAGGUGCUGCCAUCUGAUCAUUGCAGAAGUACAGAAAAGAAAUCUUGGGGGCAUGCAGGGUGCUGAGGCUUUGGGGAUAAAUGUUUUCACAGUAUUAGGGGCUAGGAAUCAUCCUCAUUUCCAUGUAAGCCCCUGUACCAAGUGAAGGGAGAGCAUGAAACCUUUGAGGAGCAUUUAUAUGUCCUAUGUAAGUGAACUUAGAGAACUCACUGGAUGCAGGGAUUGGAAGAGAUUUAGACCACCUGAGCCUGGAUUUUAGAGCUAAGGAUCUCUUCUUCUAGCAAGUCCUAGCUGAGGAAGAAUUGUUGAACAACCCUGUUGCUAUGUCCUGAAGGCUGUGAAGAUACAGCAGAGUUGAUGAAGAUACCGGAGAUACAGAUCAUUCUCUUGUCUCUCCUAUGUUUAUCUCCUUUUCUCUAAACUCCUUGUUUUAUUUUUAUUGGGAUUUUCUUUGGAUUAACCCUAUUAAAUGCAUCACUAGCCCUGAAAUUUGCCGAUGCCAAUAAACCCAUCUGUUUUAUUAACUAA
Molecule: non-coding RNA, 1926 nt
Organism: Taeniopygia guttata (zebra finch)
Lineage: Eukaryota; Metazoa; Chordata; Aves; Passeriformes; Estrildidae
Source: RefSeq, a predicted model, not a curated record